Apodemus sylvaticus (European woodmouse) is the source of this 1963-nucleotide long non-coding RNA. RefSeq lists it as uncharacterized. The transcript is spliced from 3 exons. The record is from RefSeq and is a predicted model, not a curated record. NCBI's taxonomy places the organism in Eukaryota, Metazoa, Chordata, Mammalia, Rodentia, Muridae.
GCGCGCCGUCACGUGACCGCCGGCCGGGGGCGGGGCCUAGGGAGCCCGGCCGCUGGGCCGCUGGACAGAGCUAGGACCGCGCGGAGCUGGUUUGGCUCGCUCCGGAUGCCGGAGGGAAGCGCGGCAGCGGACUGGAGGUGAAGACUGGAGGCAGUCCGCUCAUCUCCCCUCCCGAGAGAAGCCACGCGCGUGCCGUGUACAGAAGAUCAGCUGCUGGUUAAAGUCCCGGCCAGCCCUGGGGUUAAUGGACAGCUCUGCCUGCGUCCUUUGACUUUUCAGGGUUCGAGAUGACGUCCUCAUUUGGCUCAGCUGUUGUUAUUCCGCUUUCCUCGGCUGGCAUGUGAUUUCACACAAUCUAGAAACGUCUUAACUUCACGCUAGGAGUUCUUGGUCAACGUUUCAAGUUUUAAUCCUGCUUUAAUGUACGUUUUAUUUUGUGUGUGUUUGCGCGCUCACGUCCACGGCACCUGUGUGGAUGUCAGAGAGCAUCUUGCUGGAGUCAGUUCUUUCUUUCUAUGGAGUGAGUCCAGAGGAUCUAACUCACGCCCUCAGGCUUGACUGCAGGUGCCUUGGCCUGCCGAGCCAUCUUGGCCAGUCCUCCUAGGUUACCACAUCUUUCUGCAAAUUCAUCCUCAGUUCUUGAUGCAACAGAAAGCAAUGCCAGCUGCUUCUGGAAAAUGCAAAUAAUUUCUGAACUUUGAGAAGGAUCUGCCUUUGAUGUGAUUGUUCCUGGAGCUGACUGAGAGUAUUUUGUAGGCUUUUUAAUAAUGGAAUGCACAUCUGACAGAAUAUCAAAAUGCAAGUUUUUGUACACACCAUGUUGACAAUACCUGUAGAAAGGUUUCCUGAAAAACACUUGCAACGUUGAUUACAGAUCAGUUCCACUUAUGUCUGAUUUGAAUCUCAAGCGUGAAUUAUAAAUUAUUGUAUUAUAAUUGUAAAACCGAGGCUGGUGUGAUAGGGUCACUGUAAUGACCUGGAGAGGCAGUGUGAGGGUUAAGAGCACUGUUCUUCUACAGGACCUGGGUUAGAUUCCCAGCAUCUACAUAGAGGCUCACACCUUCUAUAACGCCUCUUCAACAGGCUCCAAUGCCUUCUUACGGCCUUGUCAAGCACCAGGCACGGACGUGGUGUUUAUACAUAUAUGCAGCAAAUCUGAGUUUAGCCACAGAAAGUUCCAGGCAAGCCUGGAUCAUGUAGUCAAACUGUUUCAGAAAAUAAACAAACAAACAAAAAAUGUGCAAACGCUGCAGAGAGAGGCUGUGGAGAGCAGGCUUUUGCAGGACCUUUCCCUGCUGCUACUGUCUCCAGCCUUGAGUGUGGGUAUGUGCAGACCAGAACCUAGUGUAACUGUCCUCUGAGAGGGCCCCCUGAGCAGCUGACUGAAACAGAUGCAGAGACCCACAGACAAACAUUAGACAGAGCUCAGGAAUCUUGUGAAGGAGUUGGGAGAAGGAUCAAGGAAUCUGAAGGGGAUAGGAACUCCACAGAAAAGACCAACAGAAUCAACUAACCUGGACUCUUGGAGGUUAUUAGAGACUGAACUGCCACACAAAGGGCACACAUGGGCUGGACCCAGGCCCCCUGGCACAGAUGUGCAGCUUGGUCUUCAUGCAGGUCCCUUAACUACUGGAACUGGGGCUGUCCGUGACUCUGUUACCCAUCUGUGGAUCCUGCUCUCUUAACUGGGCUGCCAUGUCUGGCCUCAGUGAGAAAGGCUGUUCCUGGUCCUGUAGUGACUUGAUGUGACAAAGUGAGUUGGUAGCUGGGGGUGGGGUUGCCCCCUCUCAGAGGAGAAGCUUUGAGGGAGACAGCUAUGAGGAGGGGAGCUUCAAUCAGGAUGUAAAGUGAAUAAAUACAAUAGUAGCUUUAUUAUACAAAGCUGGCUGUCUCAGCCGGCCUUCACUGUGCAUUGGGAUUCCGAAGAAAUAGAGAGGUGGGAGCAGGCAGGCAAAGACCCAGG